AUAGCUGGUUCUCCGCGAAAUCUAUUUAGGUAGAGCGUCGUGUAUUACCUACGGGGGUAGAGCACUGGAUGGGCUAGGGGGCCUCACCGGCUUACCAAACCUAACCAAACUCCGAAUACCGAGGAGUACUAUCUGGCAGACACACGGCGGGUGCUAACGUCCGUCGUGGAGAGGGAAACAACCCUGACCUACAGCUAAGGCCCCUAAUUCAUGGCUAAGUGGGAAAGCAGGUGGGACGACCAAAACAACCAGGAUGUUGGCUUAGAAGCAGCCAUC
This 276-nucleotide ribosomal RNA is filed under the name Isochrysis galbana. RNAcentral's name for it is "partial Bacterial large subunit ribosomal RNA". It matches the Rfam family "Bacterial large subunit ribosomal RNA", at positions 845 to 1120 of the family's 2925-position model. Lineage: Eukaryota; Haptophyta; Isochrysidales; Isochrysidaceae. The record is from RNAcentral.